UGGCGGCAGCUUACCAUGCAAGUCGAACGGUAGCAGGAGAAAGCUUGCUUUCUUGCUGACGAGUGGCGGACGGGUGAGUAAUGCUUGGGAAUCUGGCUUAUGGAGGGGGAUAACUACUGGAAACGGUAGCUAAUACCGCGUAAUAUCGGAAGAUUAAAGGGUGGGACCGAAAGGCCACCUGCCAUAAGAUGAGCCCAAGUGGGAUUAGGUAGUUGGUGGGGUAAAGGCCUACCAAGCCGACGAUCUCUAGCCGGUCUGAGAGGAUGACCAGCCACACUGGAACUGAGACACGGUCCAGACUCCUACGGGAGGCAGCAGUGGGGAAUAUUGCACAAUGGGGGGAACCCUGAUGCAGCCAUGCCGCGUGAAUGAAGAAGGCCUUCGGGUUGUAAAGUUCUUUCGGUGAUGAGGAAGGCAGAUAAGUUAAUAGCUUAUUUGAUUGACGUUAGUCACAGAAGAAGCACCGGCUAACUCCGUGCCAGCAGCCGCGGUAAU
This 495-nucleotide ribosomal RNA is filed under the name uncultured bacterium. RNAcentral describes it as "bacterial SSU rRNA". It matches the Rfam family "Bacterial small subunit ribosomal RNA", at positions 37 to 524 of the family's 1533-position model. The record is from RNAcentral.